CAGAUAAUUCUCAGCUAUGUGACCCUGGGCAAGUCACUAACCCCCACUGCCAAGCCCUUACCACUCUUCUGCAUUAGAACCAAUACACAGUAUUGAUACUAAGACAGAAGCUAAGGGUUUAAAAAAAUAAAAAGAGAAAAAGUAAAAUUUUAUAUAAAUAUGAAUAGCACUGAUGAAAAAAAUUUCAAGGAAUUUUUUGAUAUGAUCAACUCAGGAUCCCAAACCACCCUCAUGUUUCCAUACAGCCCCACUCCCAACAGCUAUUAUGAAUUAUUGCUGAUAUCAUAAAGCAUUUUUUCUCUAGCUCUAUGACAGCAGCAGUAGGCAGAGAGUUGAAGGAAGAUCAGUCCUGAUCAGAGGACAGUGAAAAAGAAGUAUAUUGGGGAUUUUUUGGUUUUUCAAAUAUUUGGACUUUACCUUGGGUGUUGAGAUUGUGGUAAGCUUUCCAGAUUCCAUUCUGGAAUUUUUGGAAGUUAUGAUAGAAAUUGCUGAAUCCAAACUAUCAAGAACAAUAUCUUCAAUUCACAGAUGAGGAAACUAAAAACCCAGGAGAUAGAUCAUUGAUGUGCGAUGUAACAGAUAAUAGUCAUGAGUGCACUGUGACAAUUAUGGAAAAAGAUUUGACCAUCUCCCCAAAUAAGAAGAAAAAUGAGUGGGAUUGUGAGGGAUGUAGUGACAACAAGAUGGAUGAAAUCAUUCUUGAGGAGGAAAUGGAACCUCCAAGAUGGGUUCAUAUUUCUGAGGAGACAAGCCCAGCACAUGUACAAGAAGACAUCAAUGUUCCGACUAAUUGGCCUUCUGUGACAUCAGAUAUGGAAAAAGCAUGCAUAUUUUCCCUAACUAAAGAGAAUGAUGUUGGAGUCCCCCAGGCAUAUAGUAACACUAGGAUGGAUGAAAUCAUUCUCAAGGAGGACAUGGAACCUCAAAGAUGGGCUCACAUCUCUGAGCAGACAAGCCCAGCAGAUGUACAUGAAGACAUCAGUGAUUCAACUAAUUAUGAUGGUACCUACAUUGGGAAAGUCCCCACAAAAUUUGAAGAGGACUACCAGGAGAAAAAAGUUUCCCUCCUAAAGGGUGCAGCUGGUGAUGGGGAUGAUUUUAUAUGGGAUGAUUAUGAUGGCAUUCCUGGCUGUGAAGAAAAUACAUGUUUUUUUAUGCCUUGCAAUGAAAAACAUUCCAAGCCAGCUCAACCUAUAUAUCCUAAUGGACAGAGAAGUCAUCAUCCAGGGGAGGAUGAAGGAAAGGAAGCUGAAGAAUCAUCAGACAGCAGUGAUGAAGGAGGCAUCUGGUUCACAGCACGAGUGACGACAUCAACAAGUAAUCAUCAUCAAGAGGAGGCUGAAGUUAAGGGAGCCGAAGAGUCAUCAGACAGUGGUGACGAAGGGGGCAUCUGGUUCACAGCGCGAGUGACAACAUCAACAAGUAAUGAUUAUCCAGGGGAGGCUGAAGGAAAGGGCAAUGAAGUCCCACUACACAAUGCUGACUCUACAAAUGAUGGGGGGAAAAACAGAAGGAGAAUAUUUUCUUUCUUUCGAUGCUUCCAGUGGAUCUCUAAAAAACAGAAAAAAAGCACUAGAAGAGAAGGUGGUGGUAUUGGUUGCCAAAAGGAAUGAAUCAAGAGAAAAUGUUGCAGAAGUUACAUCAGCAAGAGGAUUUUUUGUAUGCGUUUUAAAAAUCUAAAAAGUAAAAAAAAUGUCAUCAUGAAUUUAAGAUAAAAAGUUUAUCUUGAGUGUAUUUCAUACUCCAAUCAGUCAGUCAAUUCACAUUUAUUAAAGACCAACUAUGUGCCAUGCACUAUGCUAAGUGCUGGUCAUGUAAAGCAAGAGAAAAGAUAGCCCCCUACCUAAGGAAGCUCACAAUAUUAAUCUGAACACAACACACAGACAAUGAUCAAUGAGUAGGCUUUAUACAGGAAAAAUGCGAACUAGUCCACUGAGGGGAGGCACUAGAAUUAAGAGUCAUUGGGGAACAGGUUUCCUGCAGAAGGUGUGCUUUUAAGUAGGGCUUGAAGGAAGCUAGGGAAGUGUCUGGUAGGAAGAUAAGGUGAGGAGAGCAAGCAUUGCAAAAAUGGGUACAGCCAAUCAAGAAUGCGUCAGCCAGAGAGAUGGAUUGUCUUGUUUAAAGAUAUUGCAGUUGUUUGCAGUUGUUGAGGCAAAAGGAAAUUAAGGCCUUCACCAUGGUGGGUUGGGCAAUAUAGCAGAAAAGAAGAAGAGGCCAUAUUUAAGAGAUGUGGCAAAGAUCAAGUUGACUUGGCAAAAGACUAGAUUUUGGGUUGUAGUAGUGAGAUUUUGAGGAUGACAUUGUUAUGAGCAGGGGAAACUAGAAAGAUGGUGGAAUCCAGGACAAUGAUCGAGAAAUUUAGAAAGUGGAAGUGCUUAAAGAUAAUGAGUUCAUUUUUAUACAUAUUGAGUUGUAGGUGUUUACAGGACAUCAGAUGUGAGAGUAGAGGUCAGGAAAGAGUUAGAACUAGAUAUAGUUAAAAAAAAUAGAACUAGAUUUAUAGACAUAUAAGCAUUAUUGAAUUGAAUCCAAGGAAACUGAUUAGAUUACUAAACUUAAAAUAGAAGAGGGCCCAGAACAGUGCCCUGAGGGACAUGAAAAAUUAUUAAGUAUGACCUAGAUAUGACUGAUGGUGCAGCAGAAAGAGUGGUCAGAAGGAAACAGAACCAGGAAGGAAUCAAGAGCCCUCAGUAAACCUAGAACAGAGUACAGAAAAGGUUGUCAAAGGUUGCAGAGAGGUCAAGAAUGAUGAAGACUGAGAAAAAGCCAAUGGAUUUGGUCAAGAAGAUAUGCCUGAGGAGUUUAAAGAAAGUAGGUUGGUUUAAAUGAUGAAAUCAGAAACCAGACUAUAGAGAAAUAAGAAAAAAAUAGUGAAAAGAGAGGGGACAGAAGGAGUUAUAGCUUGUUCAAGGAGUUUAGACUAAAAAACACACUAGAUAUGUGACCAAAGUUAGCAAAGAUGAAUGGUUUGAGUUUUUUUGAGGAUGAGGCAUGGUUGUAGUCAGCAAGAAAGCAACCACUAGAUCAGCAGAUAUUAAAAGUAAGGAGAGAAGAGAUACUAGAGUACCUGGUGGAUUGGAGAGGACUUAUGCAUGUAGAGAGGUCUGCCUUGGCAAUCCUUGUUCAUCUUUUUAUGGGAGAUGUGAAGCACAAAGAGGAGACAGAGUGGCAGAAAGUAUCGGAGUAAAGAGGAAACUCUCAGCAAAUCAAGAAACAAGGGCUCUCCCUCAUAUUUAUGUGGGCUUAUUUUAUAAACUGAACUUUGCUAAGGUUGUGAAUUUUUUCAAUUAUUUUUAAGUUUAUUUUCUAGGAGUCGAAUAUACAUACCAUCAUAUCACCUGUGAAACAAUAGUUUUUUUUUUUCACUGCCUAUUCUAAUUCCUUCAAUUUCCUUUUCUUAUUGCUAUAAUUAGCAUUUCUAGUGUAAUACUGAAUAGUGGUGAUAAUAGGCAUCCUUGCUUCACUCCUAAUAUUACUGAAAAGUCCUCCAGCUUGUUCCCAUUACAAAUGAUUUCUACUGAUGGUUGUAGGUAGAUACACCUUAACAUUUGAAGGAAAGUUCCACACAGAAGAUCCUUUUUCACUAGUUUACUCCCAAAUAAAUUAUCAUUAUUCACCA
This is a long non-coding RNA of Monodelphis domestica (gray short-tailed opossum), 3619 nucleotides long. The record is from Ensembl. NCBI's taxonomy places the organism in Eukaryota, Metazoa, Chordata, Mammalia, Didelphimorphia, Didelphidae.